Scatophagus argus is the source of this 135-nucleotide small nucleolar RNA. RefSeq annotates it as small nucleolar RNA SNORA5. The record is from RefSeq and is a predicted model, not a curated record. The transcript has a single exon. NCBI's taxonomy places the organism in Eukaryota, Metazoa, Chordata, Actinopteri, Scatophagidae.
UGCGGCUUUGUCAAAUUCAGUGAGUUCUUUUCAGUGGACUUCACUGGCCAAAAUAGCUGCUACAGAGACUGUAGUCCAUGGGCCCCACCUUUUUACACUGUAGGAAGUGGGGAUAAAUAUGUACUACAUACACUC